GAUGAACGCUGGCGGCGUGCCUAAUACAUGCAAGUCGAGCGAACAGACGAGGAGCUUGCUCCUCUGACGUUAGCGGCGGACGGGUGAGUAACACGUGGAUAACCUACCUAUAAGACUGGGAUAACUUCGGGAAACCGGAGCUAAUACCGGAUAAUAUAUUGAACCGCAUGGUUCAAUAGUGAAAGACGGUUUUGCUGUCACUUAUAGAUGGAUCCGCGCCGCAUUAGCUAGUUGGUAAGGUAACGGCUUACCAAGGCAACGAUGCGUAGCCGACCUGAGAGGGUGGAUCGCCAACCUGGAACUGAGGAAAGGUUCCGACUCCCAAGGGAGGCAACAGUAAGGAAUCCUCCGGAAUGGGCGAAAGCCUGACGGAGCAACGGCGCGUGAGUGAAUAAGGGUCUCGGAUCGUUAAACCCUGUUAUUAGGGAAGAACAAAUGGGUAAGGAACUAUGCACGGCUUGAAGGUACCUUAUCAGAAAGCCACGGCUAACUAAGGG
Molecule: ribosomal RNA, 497 nt
Filed under: uncultured bacterium
Lineage: Bacteria
Description: partial 16S ribosomal RNA
Rfam family: Bacterial small subunit ribosomal RNA
Source: RNAcentral